This 516-nucleotide ribosomal RNA is filed under the name Ecitopolites sp. JP-2017. RNAcentral describes it as "partial 16S ribosomal RNA". The stretch from base 390 to 516 matches the Rfam family "Archaeal large subunit ribosomal RNA", at positions 2544 to 2671 of the family's 2987-position model. The record is from RNAcentral. Lineage: Eukaryota; Metazoa; Arthropoda; Insecta; Coleoptera; Staphylinidae.
GUCUUUUUGAGUAUAAUUUAAAGUCUGGCCUGCCCACUGAAUUUUGAAUGGCCGCARUAUUUUGACUGUGCAAAGGUAGCAUAAUCAUUAGUUUUUUAAUUAAGAACUGGAAUGAAAGGUUGAACGAGAAAAUAACUGUCUCUUUAUAAAUUCUUUAGAAUUUUAUUUUUAAGUUAAAAAGCUUAGAUAUAAUUAAAAGACGAGAAGACCCUAUAGAGUUUUAUAUAUGAUAAUUUUAAGUAUUUUUAAAUAGAAUUAAUUAAAUAUUAUUUUAUAUUAUAUUUGAUUGGGGUGAUUGAAAAAUUUAAUUAACUUUUUAUAUAUAUAUAACCAUUAAUUUAUGAAUUAUUGAUCCAUUGCUUAUGAUUAAAAGAUUUAAUUACCUUAGGGAUAACAGCGUAAUUUCUUUUAAGAGUUCUAAUCGAUAAAGAAGUUUGCGACCUCGAUGUUGGAYUAAAAUAUAAUUUUGGUGUAGAAGCUAAAAAAUUAGGUCUGUUCGACCUUUAAAAUUUUACA